AGAGUUUGAUCCUGGCUCAGAAUGAACGCUGGCGGCGUGCUUAACACAUGCAAGUCGAGCGAGAAAGCUCCUUCGGGAGCGAGUAAAGCGGCGGACGGGUGAGUAACGCGUAAGAAUCUGCCCUUCAGUGAAGAAUACCCUCGAGAAAUCGGGGCUAAUGCUGCAUACGUCCCUUCGGGGAGAAAGAUGGCCUCUUUGCUGUCGCUGAGGGAUGAGCUUGCGUACUAUUAGCUAGUUGGUGGGGUAAUAGCCUACCAAGGCGAUGAUGGGUAGCCGGCCUGAGAGGGUGAUCGGCCACAUUGGAACUGAGAUACGGUCCAGACUCCUACGGGAGGCAGCAGUGAGGAAUAUUGCGCAAUGGGCGAAAGCCUGACGCAGCGACACCGCGUGAAGGAUGAAGGUUUUAGGAUCGUAAACUUCUGUUAAGUGGGAAGAAAGAUUCAUAAGUAAUAUUUAUGAAAGAUGACGGUACCACUAGAGAAAGCACCGGCUAACUUCGUGCCAGCAGCCGCGGUAAUACGAGGGGUGCAAGCGUUAUUCGGAAUUAUUGGGCGUAAAGGGUGCGUAGGCGGCAUUUCAAGUCCACUGUUAAAUUUCCCAGCCUAACUGGGAGUCGGCGGUAGAUACUGAUUUGCUAGAGGAUGGAAGAGAGAAGUGGAAUUCUUGGAGUAGCGGUAAAAUGCGUAGAUCUCAAGAGGAACACCGAUGGCGAAGGCAGCUUCUUGGUCCAUUCCUGACGCUAAGGCACGAAAGCGUGGGGAGCAAACAGGAUUAGAUACCCUGGUAGUCCACGCUGUAAACGAUGAUCACUGGAUGUUGGAACUGCUUGCAGUUUCAGUAUCGAAGCUAACGCGUUAAGUGGUCCGCCUGGGGAGUACGAUCGCAAGAUUAAAACUCAAAGGAAUUGACGGGGGUCCGCACAAGCGGUGGAACAUGUGGUUUAAUUCGACACUACGCGAGGAACCUUACCUAGGUUUGACAUGUGUAUGACCGCUGUAGAAACACAGCUUUUCAAAGUUUACUUUGAACAUAUUCACAGGUGCUGCAUGGCUGUCGUCAGCUCGUGCCGUGAGGCGUUUGGUUAAGUCCUAUAACGAGCGCAACCCCUGCCGCCAGUUGCUAUCCAGUGAUGGAGCACUCUGGUGGGACUGCCUGGGUAACCAGGAGGAAGGUGGGGAUGACGUCAAGUCAGCAUGGUCCUUAUGCCUAGGGCUACACACGUGUUACAAUGGCGAAUACAGAGGGUCGCAAUACCGUAAGGUGGAGCUAAUCCCAGAAAGUUCGUCUAAGUUCGGAUUGAGGUCUGCAACUCGACCUCAUGAAGUUGAAAUCGCUAGUAAUCGCGUAUCAGCAACGACGCGGUGAAUACGUUCUCGGACCUUGUACACACCGCCCGUCACACCACGAAAGCUGUUUGUACCCGAAAUCGUCUUAGCUAACCACUUUGUGGAUGCGGGCGCUGAAGGUAUGGGGAGUGAUUGGGGUGAAGUCGUAACAAGGUAACCA
RNAcentral lists this ribosomal RNA (1506 nucleotides) under uncultured bacterium. RNAcentral describes it as "bacterial SSU rRNA". It matches the Rfam family "Bacterial small subunit ribosomal RNA". The record is from RNAcentral.